CCACUAUCAUUUUGGGGUUAUGCAUUAGAGACAGUUACAUUCACUUUAAAUAGGGCACCAUCUAAGUCAGUGGAGACGACACUGUAUGAACUAUGGUUUGGCAAGAAACCUAAGUUGUUGUUUCUUAAGGUUUGGGGCUACGAUUUUCUUGAUAGGCUUCGGCCAGAAAAGCUCAAACCCAAAGCGGAAAAUCGUGUCUUCAUAGAAUACCCAAACAAGAUGAUUGGGUAUACCUUCUAUCUCAGAUCUGAGGGCAAAGUGUUUGUCGCUAUUAAUAGGUCCUUUCUUGAGAAAGAGUUUCUCUCGAAAGAAUUGAGUGGGAGAAAGAUAGAACUUGAUGAAGUUGUUGAACCUUCACUUCAACCAGAAAGUAGCGCAGCACGGAAAGAUGUUUCUAUGGCAACUACGUCAGGUGAAGAGAAAGCUAAUGAUGAUGAUCAUGAAGCUUCAGAUCAAAUUACUAUCGAACCUCGUAGGUCGACAAGGGUGUGUAAAACUUCUCAGUGGUAA
Molecule: ribosomal RNA, 510 nt
Filed under: Triticum aestivum (bread wheat)
Lineage: Eukaryota; Viridiplantae; Streptophyta; Magnoliopsida; Poales; Poaceae
Description: partial small subunit ribosomal RNA
Source: RNAcentral